AUGAACGCUAGCGACAGGCCUAACACAUGCAAGUCGAGGGGCGAGCGACAAGGAGCAAUCUGAGGUGGCGACCGGCGGCACGGGUGAGUAACACGUAUGCAACCUGACCUGUAAGCGGGGAAUAACCCGUUGAAAGACGGACUAAUACCGCAUAAUACUAAAUUACUGCAUGGUAAUUUAUUUAAACAUUUAUGGCUUACAGAUGGGCAUGCGCAUGAUUAGCUAGUUGGAGAGGUAACGGCUCCCCAAGGCAACGAUCAUUAGGGGUUCUGAGAGGAAGGUCCCCCACACUGGUACUGAGACACGGACCAGACUCCUACGGGAGGCAGCAGUGAGGAAUAUUGGUCAAUGGACGAGAGUCUGAACCAGCCAAGUCGCGUGCAGGAAGAAUGUCCUAUUGGAUUGUAAACUGCUUUUGCAGGGGAAUAAAGUGCAUCACGUGUGAUGUUUUGUAUGUACUCUGCGAAUAAGGAUCGGCUAACUCCGUGCCAGCAGCAGC
Molecule: ribosomal RNA, 499 nt
Filed under: uncultured bacterium
Lineage: Bacteria
Description: bacterial SSU rRNA
Rfam family: Bacterial small subunit ribosomal RNA
Source: RNAcentral